Pelobates cultripes (western spadefoot toad) is the source of this 496-nucleotide non-coding RNA. Lineage: Eukaryota; Metazoa; Chordata; Amphibia; Anura; Pelobatidae. The record is from the annotation of a GenBank genome assembly.
CCAGGUCAGUUGCGUAUGAGAGAUCCCUAUUUUAUCAAAUGCCAUUGAGUCGGAAAUUCUCAGGACUUACGAAUUCAAGUUUAUCCUCAAAGGCUUCCCACAACAGGCCAGGGCCAUCAUAGCCCUCGCCCUCUGAAGGGACAUCAUCCGCUAGUACCCUUAACUAGUACUCCUGCUCAGCUACUACUUUGGCUCUCAGCUAUUUGCUAGUACACCAGCUCGGCUACUACUUCAGCUCUUGGCUAGUACUCCGGCUCUUGGAUAGGACUCCUGCUCCUGGCAAGGAAUCUAGCUCUUGUAAGGUACUUCUGCUUUUGGCUAGUACUCUAGCUAGGCUGGUAAUUCAGCUCUUGGCUAGCACUCCAACUCGGCUAGUACUUUGACUCUUGUCUAGUACCCCAACUCGGUUAGUACUUCAGCUCUUGACUAGUACUUUUCUCUUGGCUAGUACUUCUGCUAGGCUAGUAGUCCAGCUUGGCUAGUACUUUUGCUUUAG